AUUUGCCUUUAGGAGGGGGACAACAACUGGAAACGGUUGCUAAUACCCCAUAUGCUUUCGAGUGGAAUGGAUUUCCGCCUAGAGAGAAGCUUGCGGCUGAUUAGCUUGUUGGUGAGGUAAUGGCUCACCAAGGCGACGAUCAGUAUCUGGUUUGAGAGGACGAUCAGACACACUGGAACUGAGACACGGUCCAGACUCCUACGGGAGGCAGCAGUAGGGAAUUUUCCGCAAUGGGCGAAAGCCUGACGGAGCAAUACCGCGUGAGGGAUGACUGCCUAUGGGUUGUAAACCUCUUUUUUCAGGGAGGAAUAAAUGACGUGUACCUGAAGAAUAAGCAUCGGCUAACUCCGUGCCAGCAGCCGCGGUAAGACGGAGGAUGCAAGUGUUAUCCGGAAUCACUGGGCGUAAAGCGUCUGUAGGUGGCUCGAUAAGUCAACUGUUAAAUCUUGAAGCUCAACUUCGAAAUCGCAGUCGAAACUAUCGGACUAGAGUAUAGUAGAGGUAAAGGGAAUUUCCAGUGGAGCGGUGAAAUGCGUAGAUAUUGGAAAGAACACCGAUGGCGAAGGCACUUUACUGGGCUAUUACUGACACUCAGAGACGAAAGCUAGGGUAGCAAAUGG
RNAcentral lists this ribosomal RNA (620 nucleotides) under uncultured bacterium. Its description in RNAcentral is "bacterial SSU rRNA". It matches the Rfam family "Bacterial small subunit ribosomal RNA", at positions 124 to 775 of the family's 1533-position model. The record is from RNAcentral.